GCAGUAGCCGCGGGAAUACAGAGGGUGCGAGCGUUAAUCGGAUUUACUGGGCGUAAAGCGUGCGUAGGCGGCUUCUUAAGUCGGAUGUGAAAUCCCUGAGCUUAACUUAGGAAUUGCAUUCGAUACUGGGAAGCUAGAGUAUGGGAGAGGAUGGUAGAAUUCCAGGUGUAGCGGUGAAAUGCGUAGAGAUCUGGAGGAAUACCGAUGGCGAAGGCAGCCAUCUGGCCUAAUACUGACGCUGAGGUACGAAAGCAUGGGGAGCAAACAGGAUUAGAUACCCCAGUAGUCCCUGUCUCUUAUAC
RNAcentral lists this ribosomal RNA (302 nucleotides) under uncultured bacterium. RNAcentral's name for it is "partial 16S ribosomal RNA". It matches the Rfam family "Bacterial small subunit ribosomal RNA", at positions 508 to 807 of the family's 1533-position model. The record is from RNAcentral.